This is a long non-coding RNA of Cimex lectularius (bed bug), 941 nucleotides long. RefSeq lists it as uncharacterized. Lineage: Eukaryota; Metazoa; Arthropoda; Insecta; Hemiptera; Cimicidae. The transcript has 3 exons. The record is from RefSeq and is a predicted model, not a curated record.
GAAAUGUGUUAACGAGUGUGCGGGAAAUGUCUGGAGGGGAUGAGAAGGGUGUGCGGUAUAGAGAGUGGACACUCCUUGUUACCCCUAGAUGAGAAUAUCCGACUUCAGUCUCUGCCCUAUAACCGCCAGAAAGCGACACGACUCCCGUUCCCGUACAGUUACCUUUCACUUGACUCAAUUUUAAUUUUUCCCCGACAAUCAUUUUAAAUGUAUAUCAUAUUAAGAACGAAUUUCUUGGUAAGUCAAGUCUAAAAUAUAGGCAUGUGUGGCUUGAUUGUUUUGUGUACCGAAAAUCCGUAGAUGGAGUCGUGCCGAGUCCGGGCACGUUUCCCAGCUCGAGGGUUUUCCUCGUCGUAGAGGCGAUUUCCCGUAGAUUUACGUUCGUCUUAGAGGCCGGGCUCAGAGGCCGUCCGUCUUAGGCGACCCGUCCGACGACGUCGAGAUCGCCGGUCCACGGUCCAUUUAUCCUCAUGUAAAAAUUGAUCCGUUUAUCAAGAGAGGGGGGCAAAGGGAAACCGAGAUCCGUGAAUACGAUCGGAUGAGGAUUUUGCCGUAAUUGGAAACGAGUGAGGACCGGAUAAGAGGCUCUUAUAACGGACACGAUUCCGCCGGUUUCGUUCAAAUUAUAGAUUUCUAUUCUCCUGGAAACGCGCUCCCUCUCACGAGCUUAGCCUCUUUUUUUGGCAGUCGCCGAAAGAUGGCUACCGGUCCGCCACCACUCAGACUUCUCUAUUCUUCUUCGAACAUUGAUUUUCCUUUGCCCAUCCGUAAAUUUUCGGUUGUGUUUUCCGUUUUAUAAUUGUCAGGCCAGUUUACGCUUGUCCACGGCAAAUAUCCGACUUCCAUAUUGUCAAAAACGCCCCCAUAGCAAGAAAUAUUCUCAAAGCGGAUGAAUGAAGAAGAUAUCUUGAAAUGUGGAUGAAAUGACUUGCUAUGGCCUU